AGCCGAAACGCUCCACAAAGGAGCGUCCGGAAAAGGCGGCAACUUUUCCGCUGAUGAGGCAAGCCGAAU
RNAcentral lists this non-coding RNA (69 nucleotides) under Selenomonadaceae bacterium. The record is from RNAcentral. Lineage: Bacteria; Bacillati; Bacillota; Negativicutes; Selenomonadales; Selenomonadaceae.